ACCGCCACCCUCUGUCUCCUACCUUCAAGCCAGUUCUGUAUCCAAAUGGCUAGUUGCCCCUGUAUUCCAUGUGAUCUAACCUAGCUAAACAGUCUGCCAUGCGAAACCUUGUAGAACGCCUUACUGAAGUCCAUUUAGAUCACGUCCACCACUCUGCCUUCAACAGUCCUCUUUGUUACUUCUUCAAAAAACGCAAUUAAGUUAGUGGGUCAUGAUUUCCCACAUACAAAGCCAUGUUGAUAAUAAUAAUCAGUCUUUGCUUUUCCAAAUACUCACAAGUCCCGUCCCUCACGAUCCUCUCUGGCAACUUGCCCACAACCAAUGUCAGGCAGGUAAGGAUGGUGUAUUCCUUUCCCUUUAGAAUGGUAGUGAGCAAUUUACAAUUUUAACAAUGGUCCUACAGCUUUGUAGUUGCCUCAUGUCUCACUCCACAAGCUUUCCAGCCCCCAGUUUAGACAUUUGUUGCCAUGUUGCUUUGUCAGAGGUUCCAUCUGUUGGAUGAUAUGUUAAACCAAGAUCCUGUCUGCCUGUUCAACUGGGCAUAGAAAAAUGCUAUGGCACUCUUCAGUGAAGAGCAGGAACUUCGUCUGGCCAACAUUUAUCCCUCAUUCAACAACAAUAAUAACAAACUAAAUGCUCACUUCUUCUGUUUGCCAUUUGUUGUUUGUAAAUUGACUUUCAUGAUUCCCCAGAAAACAGCAAAAUACUUAAAAAGUAAUUCUGAAGAUGUGAAAGGCACUGCAUAAGUACAAUUUCCUCAUGCAUACUUUUUGAAUAAAAGUAGAGUUGCCAUAAUCCUACCAGUCCAUAGGGCUGCUUGCUCAUUGGAGAGAUGCAACUGGUGGUGGUUUAGCCUGAGGGUCACCGUGCCUCUGGAAAGGGGAGAGGUUGAAAAGAGGAGCCCUUCAUGGUAUCCUCAGCUGGUACAGGAAUUGAAUGCCACAUUGUUGGAUUUCCAAUCCAACCAGCAGAGCUAACUGACACCCUUUCUUUUUAAAUACAGAAAGGUGAAUGACUGAAUUUAAGAAGUACUUUCCCAGACAUAUCUUUUACGUUAUGACUUUCAAUUAUUCAUUAAUAUAGAAUUUAUAGCACAAAGACAGGCCAUUUGACAUGACCAGUUUUACUUAAGAUGAAAGAAUGGGUCUGUAAACUCUUUCACAGUUGCAUUGAAAAUUCUGUAUGAGUUAUUGGUUACGCCAGAUGGCCGGAAUCAAUAAAUUAGAACAACAGUGACUAAGUGCUGCAGAGAAAGGUCUAAAUUCAGUCCAGUUUUGUAAAUUUAACCAUUACUGUCCUUUAUGGAAAGCUGCAUGAUGGUGUAAAUGCCAUGCUGUCAUCUACUAGAGAACAGGAUGUCUGUGAAUAAUCUGUGGUUUUUAUAUCCUGGCACGGUCGUGUUGUGGUGAUGUAUCACACAGACAGCUGUAAGUUGAUCUGAGGGAAAGAAGCCCCAGAGGCAUUGGUUGAACCUCUAAGGAACAUUGUCCACACAGAUUCAACAUCAGUCUCACUAUCAGCGAAGGAGCCAACAAGUGAAAAUAGUCUGUCAGACUUGGUUUUAAUGCACCUCUGUGUUUCAUAAUGCUCAUUGACCUCAUCGAGUUAUGGGAUUUGCAAUCUUGCUCCCACUCACUAUUGCUCACUGCUAUCCCUGUUAAACAUUAAGCAAUGUUGUCCCUGAGAUGGAUGCAGCAUUGUGGCUUGUCCCCUUUAUUGUGUUUAGUCUCAGCCUUGCUUUCAGCACUCUGUAACUUACUACUGCAUCGGCAGUAUAACCAUAAAUGAAAUCAAACAACCGCCCUGAAUCCAAUGCAUAUCAGUGUUUUGUGACAGCUUCUUAUGUGAUGAUACUCAUGCAUUGACGAUGGGAGAAACCAGAGGCAAUGUUUCACCACAUUUUAUACAGCUCAAAAUAUUCUAUGUAAGGCAAUCAGAGUCCAGAAGGAUAAAAUCUCCAGCUGUGCUGCUCGUUGUUUUUCCACAGUUCGAGAGAAUAAUAGAAACAUUGCACCAAAUGUUUGGUUGCUCCCCCUAAUAUCAACUUCCAAGACACUCCUGCCAUUUUUAUAUUGUUGAACCUCUACAAGGUGUUUCUGGAUGCCUUUCUGUGUUAAAGGCUCUGUGUAAAUGCACAUCAAUGUUAUUCACAUCUCUAUGGCUCUUCAUUGAAACCUUCACGUGUUGGGGGAGUGGGUAGGUGGGCACAAUACUGACAAAACUGAACCCUCUCACCCCCCCUUGCCAAUGCCAAUGGCGGAAAUCCAAAGGAUCACCUACAUGCAAGCCUACACGGUAAUUUUGGAAGCAAACUUUUCACAUCAGCUGUUUGGUUAUCUUCAAUGAGUAUCAGAUUAUCACUGCAAUUGUGCAGUAUUCACUGAACCAGAGAGUCAUGGGUUUACUACUUGCUGACAGGAGUUGGAACACAAGAUCUUGGCUGGCACCCCAUUACAGUUCUGCAGUUAUGCCAAAGCCCUGUCUACAUGUUCUGAUAGUUACCAUGACACCAAUCAAAUAAGAAGAAGAUCUUAAACACAAAGCUGGGACCUUGAACAGCAUAUUUUCCCGAAAGUGAGAAACCAGAUCAGCUUGAUGUUCAUCUCAUUACGGAUGUGCUGAUGUACAUGACUGAUGAUUUCCUGUGUGAAGUGCUUUCAGGAAUCUGGAUGAUCUGAUAAGGCUUUAUAUAAAUUAAUAUUAAAUAGUAUAGUCUGAAAAAUUUUAUACAUUUUCCAUGGAAGCCAAGGAUUGAAAAUAACAAAUCAGAACUUCAAAAUAUUAACUCCAUUUUUUCAUGUAAUUGUUAAAAAUUGUUAAUUGUGACAUGUAAAAUUUUGUUGAAACCCCUUCCCACACACCUCCCCUUCCCCCAUUACUGAUCAGACCACCAAUACCCUCUUCUUAUUUUUCAUAGAGGUAUUAAUAAAUCUGGGGGAGCAACUGCCAGAUCAUACUACCCAAAAUUCAUGGAAACAAAUUUUAUCCUGUUCAGGCUAAAGCUUGUACCAUGCAUGUUAACUUUAUUACAUCAAGUUUUGUGUAAGUGGUGUGCUAAUGCAGAGCUUAAAAUGGUGAACUGGCAAGCUGAAAGCUGUGAAUUCAAAUCUUAUCAUAAUCCCAAAUUGGAAAAUUGAAUUCAAUGUAUAAUAAUAACUUGUAUUAAUAUAGUGACUUUAUCAUAUAAAAGUGUUCUAACUUUCUUUCCAGAACUUCUAUCACAUGACAUUUGGCACAGAACUAGAUAUGAGGUGCUAUUAGGAGCAAAACCUUGGUCAAAUAAUGAAGAGAGAAAGGAAAAGAGGGUCAAGGAUGAAAUUAUACCAUUUACAACUGCCAGUGGUGAAGAGAUUAACAUCUGAAUGUGGAAGAGCCAUCUCACCAACUCUCAUCAGAGUACUACCCAGAGAAUGAUCCUGACUAUUGUGUGUGGAUGCCCCCUUCAGGUCAAACAGGCGAUGGUAGGACACAUCUGAAUGACAAAUAUGGCUAUUGAAAGCCCAAGGCAGUUGCCAUGUCCCAGGGAUGCACAUCUUGCUGGAGGGGAUUUGUAAAUGUGCCUAUACUGCCACUUUCAGAACACUACGUCUGCAGUCUGGAAGCUUAUGGCAGCAGCUGAAACUGGAGAACAGUGCAACUCUGAAAGUCUCAUCAAGGUUAUUUUGCUGUUGCUUUGCGUCCCUACACCCCAUCCCUGUUAGGAUGUUUUUGGGACUCUUGAGCACACAAAACAGUAUUUACAUAAAAUUCUGUUUCUCCUUUUUGGGUUCCCACUGGGGCAGAAUCGCAGUCCCAACUGAUGUCCCAGCAGACACAUCUGACGGUAUUAUCAUACAUUGGAACAAUUUGAUAUCUGUGGCUCCUAACGUGAUGUGCUUAUGGUUUUGAUAGUGCUGCCUGGGACAGCCCCCCAGUUCUUCUGUCUAAAGUGGAGUAUGACUACUUACUACUUGGGAAAUGAAACAGGAGUUUUUCAUUUGAUGCCUGAGUUGGUAUUUUCCCUUGAGAGCACAAACCAGAGUUUGAGAUUCUGAGAUACUUAGAGCAGCAGUAAGUCUUUGGAUGACCACAGAUGACACAGAGGCCAGUAGCUGCAGCUAUUUGUACUAAUCAUUUGAGAAGUUCAGGACAAGAUAUCCACAAUAAAUAGCCAUAAGUCUACACUCAAUUCACAUCUGUUUAUUAUGUACAGCCUCCGUUUACUCUUGGUUUUUGGCUUCUUCAGUGCUUGCUCAUGUUUGGUUUCAAAAUCUUCAGAUGUAAUGUAAGAUUAAUGUUGUGAUUCCAGACUAACUGGAAACCCACCUGGAGUUCAUAUCAGAAAUUCCUGGGGUGUACCAUGCAUCUAUUUUGCAGUUAAUUGACAGUGCAGCAUGAACCCCCAGAAUUUCAGAAACAUUGGUCAGAAAAUUACACUUUGAGUGUGUGUGUGGGUGCAUGUGCAUACAAAAGCAACUGUAUUGUGCUGUCUGUCACCUUAGUAAAAGGGAGAGGAUAUGCUUGGUAAUAUAGCAUUUGGUUGCUUUGUUAUGAUGAGAAUAAAUCAUUUUAUUUGGAA
Rhincodon typus (whale shark) is the source of this 4558-nucleotide long non-coding RNA. RefSeq lists it as uncharacterized. Lineage: Eukaryota; Metazoa; Chordata; Chondrichthyes; Orectolobiformes; Rhincodontidae. The transcript has 3 exons. The record is from RefSeq and is a predicted model, not a curated record.